Molecule: ribosomal RNA, 484 nt
Filed under: uncultured bacterium
Lineage: Bacteria
Description: partial 16S ribosomal RNA
Rfam family: Bacterial small subunit ribosomal RNA
Source: RNAcentral
AUUGAACGCUGGCGGAAUGCUUUACACAUGCAAGUCGAACGAUGAACCUUAGCUUGCUAUGGGGUUUAGUGGCGAACGGGUGUGUAAUAUAUCUGAACGUGCCUUGUAAUGGUGGAUAACUAGUCGAAAGAUUAGCUAAUACCGCAUACGCCCUGAGGGGGAAAGUAGGGGAUCUUCGGACCUUACGUUAUAAGAUCGGCCGAUAUCUGAUUAGCUAGUUGUUGGGGUAAUGGCCUACCAAGGCGACGAUCAGUAGCUGGUCUGAGAGGACGACCAGCCACACUGGAACUGAGACACGGUACAGACGACUACGGGAGGAAGCAGUGGGGAAUUUUGGACAAUGGGCGCAAGCAUGAUACAGCAAUACCGCGUGAGUGAAGAAGGCCUUCGGGUUGUAAAGCUCUUUCGCAAGGGAAGAAAAGUUACCAUAGAAUAAAUGGUGAGGCUGACGGUAACUAGAUAAGAAGCACCGGCUAACUACGUG